CAUGCUACUAUUACAACUAAAUCAGCUACUGCAUAAAGUAUGCUGUCAUUAUAUAUUUCAUAUUGCACAAUAAUACUGUGCUCAUAAUAUCUGCAUACAUGCGCUAUGCGUUCAUAUACCAUGUACGCACAGCGCAUACUGACCUGCCCUAAUUCAUAAUGCUGAUCUACAAGCAAAAUAACUUCCUUCACACACGCUUGUGUAGGUCGUUCCCCUUUUCAUAAGCUUUUGAAUCUCUUAUACGUCCGCUCUCAGUUGAUUCUCUCUGGGUGCUCUAUUUCUGUCCUCCUCACCAAUAUAUCGUCGCUCUCCUCUCACAAUUAUAAGCCAGGGCUUAUAUUUUUUCUUUUUUCAUGCUUCGGCUAAUAUUUUAUAAAUAACUUUGUAAUCUAUGAUUCAAAUAAUUCAGUUUAUUUUUCAAUUAAAUUUCUAUUUAUUUAUCGUCUCCACUUAUUGACUCUCUUUUUCAUACAAUAAAUUUCUCGCAAUUGCACAAUACAAAUUCUAAUUUUAACUGCCGUUUAGCUUUUUCUUUUGCUUUGAAUUAAAUCAUAUUGCUGCCCUGCUUACUCUUAUGCGUCCCGUGCACUGCCGACGUCAUUUCGGCCAUACGCGUCAUGCGCUUGUGCAGCACGGCAGCAUAUCAGCUGUAAAAAUUCUUCACCCCCCCUUUUGUACCUAUUUCUUCGUUGGCUAAUAUGCUAUUUUAUUGUGGUUUAUGUUCCUGGACUGGCAUAUUAACUGUGCACGAUAUGUUCUAGUCGGGAACUUUUCUAACAAUUACCUGCUAUUAGCUAUAUGUUUUUUCUUGUCUAAUUGUUCUUCUUAUUAUUAUGCUGCGAUUUUACUGUCAAUGUUUUUCGGCAAGCAGCCUGCCUGUGUCGGAAACUUUUUCUUACAUGAAUCUAAUAAGAACAUUUUUGGUUAAUUUCCAACGAUUUACUAGAGCAACUUGUUACAAAUUUUUCAUAAAUAAACUGAUUUUCCCUAUUAUUUAACUUUAAAUAUUGAGAUUUAUACUUCAUUCCUUAUAUUAAUUGUUAUAUUAAAUCAGAUUCAAUUCAAUUUGCUCUAUGGCCAUUUGGAGGUCAUUUUAGUGCUAAGGAGGACCCAGAUCCGUGUAUGGUAAUUUAUUUUACUUUAGAUACAGCUGGAUUCUGGAUCCCCCUUGGCCAUUCUUUACCACUGUGGGCGGUCGUGCUGACUUGUGCUCUAAUAUGCUGCUUCGUUCAGCGAUAUAAUUGAGCGCUUUUUGCCACUGCUGCUCAAACCAAACAUUUUUUCCUGGGUCUGUAUUCUGUCUAUCACUGUUAAUUAACAUUUAUGCUCUCCUUCCCCUUUUUAUCUUUCUUUAUAAUGUUUCUCCUGUUUCUUUACUCAUGAGAAUCAAAAUCGUUCCAAGCCUUACUAAGCUGCUACUCAUUCAGUAUGACUCAAUUUGAGUGAGUCUGUUUCUGAGCUUUUUCGCUCAAUGAGCUUUAUUCUAAAACGGCAAUUUUCCACUGGUACACCCAGCACCCAGUUUUAUAGCCUAGGAAUUUUGCCUCAACCUUCAGUCGGGUUAUUCGUUUAAACUGACAUGCAUGUGUUUUUUCGCUGCGUUCAUAAAAAAUUAAAAAACAAAUUAAAUUUUGUCAGAAAUUAUUCUGUUGUAUUGGUCGUGUAGUGCCGCGUUUUCCAUUCCCAGUGAUCUUGCGCGCCUGGUGUCAUAUCGUUUUUGUGGGGACCGUGUCUAUCUGGUUGGUCGCGGCGGCUGGAGGUGUUAGCUGCUUGAGCUGCCUGUCCACGCUGUUGGCCGUCUAAGUUGGCCACAUGUCCCCUCUUCUGCGGUAUUUCGCUAGUGCUGGUGGGAAUACGUGGGUGUGUGUGCGUGGCUCUGCACUGGCCCACACCUCCAGUCAAAUUGGGUCUAAAUAAAGAACUUUGCUGCACACCUCUCUUGUUUGGCUGUUUGAGGCCUUUUUCUGCCUGCUGUUACUGCUUUUAUAUAAAUCUGCGCCCUGGAGUACUUAAUUCAUAUAUCACGUCGACUGACCUAUGCUUUAUUGAGUGGAGCUUUGCUGCUGGAUAGUGCCGCAACGCGGGACAUUUUCUAUAUACAUCUUGAUUGUCUGCUUCAACAUGUCCUGCACUGGAAAUGGACUAAUCAAUAUGUGAUACUAUCGCCAUAAACUCUAUGAUAAUGCAGAGUAAAUAUUCAACGCUUUAUUCCUGUCUAAAUCCAUUUAUUUUAAUACAAUUCACAUAACAAAUUCAUUACACUUACAUCACAUUAUAUAAAUAAUAUAAAUCCUAAUACAACACACAUUUAAUUAAAUAACUGGCUAUAUAACUUUCUAUUUUAUUUUUAUAAUUCAUUAAUUAAUCUGACUUAUUUAAUGCAUUACAUUUAUUUACAAAGCCCAUGUGGGCAACUAAUUCAUAAACGCCGUUCAGGCCAUAAAAUACUACUUAAAUACUAUAACAUAAAUUUUUUAGAACAUUCAAUAUAACAAUUUAUUUCAUUUAAAUUAUCAAAUAAUACACAUAAUUAAUAAUACAUCACAUCAUCAUACCAGUAAAUAACGCACAUUCAUCUUUACCACCACACUUUUUAUUACCAUGUUACAAAAACCCAAAUGGGCAACUAAUUCACAAACGCCGUUCAGGCCAUAAAUUACUAUUCUUAUAUUACAACAUAAAUUUUUUAGAAACUAUCAAUAUACCAAAUUAUUUCAUUUAUUUAUCAAAUAAUACACAAAACUAAUUAUAUAUCGCACCAUCAUACCAGUAUACAACGCAUAUUCAUCUUUACCACCACACUUAUUACUACCAUGCCGUCUUCUCACCAUCACCUAUACUUCCUAUUUUACACCUAACUAAUUAUUUUGUAUAAUUACUGCCGGUAAACUACCUCGCUAUGGAUUGGCCCAACCUAUGUCUGGCUCUGGAUUAUGGACUGGUACCCGCUCGUCUCCCGGCAUGAUGCUUUUAUGCUCGCUUGCUGCCCGGAUUUUGCUACGUUCUCGUGCUGGAUUUGCGUGCUGCUUUCGAAUGCAACGACGUCUCUGGACCUUCCGAUCCUGGAAUCUUUUAAAUCGCCGUCCUGUCUCUCUUGGCUUCAUGGACUAUCACACUCCUUGUAUAGGACUCAUACAUGCUCAAAUUGCAAUGAUGUCUGGUAUCCAAUAGGCCUUGGAUUCAACAUACUUUUCUGACAAAUUACUGUUCCUGCAACGUAAAUAUAUACUUAUUAAACCAUUUUCACAUAAAUCACACAUAUAAAUAAUUUUAUAAACCAAAAAACAUUCAUAAAUUAUAAUACACAUAUACGCAAUUAAUACAUACUACCUUCAUCCAAUAUCAUUUAUCAAUUAUCUGUAAUCACAAUUCCAACCACAACAUUAAGCCAUAUAACUCUUGUUUUUCACAUUAUAAUUUAUUAAUACAUAGCCCAUAACUCAUAGUAAUACAUUUCAUAAAUAUUAUAUUCACCAAAUUCCUUAUAACAUACAACAACAAAUUAACUUAUUAAAUACCAAUCAACAAAGACAGAUGCAUUUCAACAUAUAUUCGAAAAUACACAUUGGUUAUGGAUUUCCAUUUACACACCACAUCAUACUCCAAAUUUCAUCUACACACUUUACCGCAUUCAUCGCCCAUAUAUAUGGUUACAUAUUCAUCGCUACACAUUACUAUUUACACAUCAUCAUUCACGGCACUUCUCAUCUAUACAUUCAACAAUAUAACUAAUGACUUCUUUUUUAUCAUACUGCCAUCAUGGUCCAUCCGGAUUUGCACCUCCUGAUUCUCUCGGCUGACAUCACCAUUUGGCACCCCACUGGUGCGCAUCCUUCAUGCCCGUUCCUGGGAUUCGUUUUGGCUGCAUCCACGCCUGCCACACAAACGCUUUCAUUGGCACCACUGGAUCUUCACAGCAUCAACAUUUACACACUAUUCAUACUUAUAUUUAUUAUUUAAGAUUAUUUUUGUCAUACGUUUAAGCCCACUAAAACGUCUAAUUCAUAGCUUUUUGUUACACAAAAUGAAUUUACCCAAAAUUUAAAAAUUUCAAUUUUGAAAAGAAAACUUUGAAUAUAUUGUUAUAAUUUAUACUUCACUUUAUCUUGUAAUCUCCUUAUAUUAUAAUUUACAACUUGAAUUCAAAUUUUUUAAAUCUUUUCACAUUAUUAUUGUUAUAAAUUUCAUUUUUUCUUAUUACUUCUACCUUUAUACAUUGUUUGUUAUUCCUCAUUAGAAUUAAUUACACUUAGAUUUAAUUUAUGUACUUAUAAAAACAACAACUGCCACACCACAAUAUCUACUCCUGGUACCCCCUUGAGGGAGGGGGUGCCUCACCUACUCGCUUCGGCUUUUCACCGCAUUCCCUCCACUCAUUCAAACGGGAAGGAUCAAGACAGUAAUUUUGUUGUCGUCACCUCCUUUGACUGCACUACCGGCUGGAUUUGGGAUUAGUUCUAAGUUUAGUUUAAGUAAAGUUGUACCCAUUUUCUGGCUAUGUGCGCCAUAAUAAAAUAUAUAUAUAUGAAA
RNA transcript from Scaptodrosophila lebanonensis, 4530 nucleotides. RefSeq lists it as uncharacterized. The record is from RefSeq and is a predicted model, not a curated record. NCBI's taxonomy places the organism in Eukaryota, Metazoa, Arthropoda, Insecta, Diptera, Drosophilidae. The transcript has 2 exons.